Molecule: unclassified non-coding RNA, 626 nt
Filed under: Trichoderma harzianum
Lineage: Eukaryota; Fungi; Ascomycota; Sordariomycetes; Hypocreales; Hypocreaceae
Description: sequence contains 18S rRNA gene, ITS1, 5.8S rRNA gene, ITS2, 28S rRNA gene
Source: RNAcentral
UUCGGGUUUACGAUUCCUCCUGAUCAGAGGUCCCAUUUCAGAAGUUGGGUGUUUAACGGCUGUGGACGCGCCGCUCCCCUAAAGCGAGUGUGCAAACUACUGCGCAGGAGAGGCUGCGGCGAUACCGCCACUGUAUUUCUGAGACGGCCACCCGCUAGGGGAGGGCCGAUCCCCAACGCCGACCCCCCGGAGGGGUUCGAGGGUUGAAAUGACGCUCGGACAGGCAUGCCCGCCAGAAUACUGGCGGGCGCAAUGUGCGUUCAAAGAUUCGAUGAUUCACUGAAUUCUGCAAUUCACAUUACUUAUCGCAUUUCGCUGCGUUCUUCAUCGAUGCCAGAACCAAGAGAUCCGUUGUUGAAAGUUUUGAUUCAUUUUCGAAACGCCUACGAGAGGCGCCGAGAAGGCUCAGAUUAUAAAAAACCCGCGAGGGGGUAUACAAAAAGAGUUUUGGUUGGUCCUCCGGCGGGCGCCUUGGUCCGGGGCUGCGACGCACCCGGGGCAGAGAUCCCGCCGAGGCAACAGUUUGGUAACGUUCACAUUGGGUUUGGGAGUUGUAAACUCGGUAAUGAUCCCUCCGCUGGUUCACCAACGGAGACCUUGUUACGACUUUUACUUCCAAAAGGGCA